This is a long non-coding RNA of Chrysoperla carnea, 451 nucleotides long. RefSeq lists it as uncharacterized. The record is from RefSeq and is a predicted model, not a curated record. Lineage: Eukaryota; Metazoa; Arthropoda; Insecta; Neuroptera; Chrysopidae. The transcript is spliced from 3 exons.
AACAAAACGAUAAUGAAUUAUUCAAUGAUAAUGUUCAAAAUGAUGAUAUUUAUUCAGAAUCUGAUACGGAAUAUUCAUUGGAUUUACAAACAAGGCUACAAAAAUUAAGAAAGACUAAAAAUAGUAUUAAAAAUAUUAGUCACAGUGAAAGUAUUAAGUGUAAAUAUUGUGAUCGUAUUUUUAAAAACGAUAGUUACUGGUUUAAACGACAUCUUGAAAAGCAUGAACACGAACAACAACAAUCCAAUCAAAGGCAAUUUAAAUGUUCUUGUUGUAAAGAAGUCUUUGUGAAUAAAAUAGAACGAAAUGAACAUCAGCAAAAAGAACAUUUGGACAUAUUACAUUGUAGUACAUGCGAUAAAACAUUCAAUCAUAUUCGUAGCAUAGAAAGUCAUAAAAAAUAUUCUCAUAAAGGUGAAAAACGUAAAACAUACACGUACAUAUGUGAGAA